UAUGGGGUUGGGCCUUAAUUGGGAACCACAUGGUGGUUUUUUAUUGAACAAAUUUCUUUGGUGGCGGGAGCAAUCCUACCGCCAGAGGUUAUAACUAAACCAAACUUUUUAUUUACAGUCAAACUUGAUUUAUUAUUACAAUAGUCAAAACUUUCAACAACGGAUCUCUUGGUUCUCGCAUCGAUGAAGAACGCAGCGAAAUGCGAUACGUAAUAUGAAUUGCAGAUAUUCGUGAAUCAUCGAAUCUUUGAACGCACAUUGCGCCCUUUGGUAUUCCAAAGGGCAUGCCUGUUUGAGCGUCAUUUCUCCCUCAAACCCCCGGGUUUGGUGUUGAGCAAUACGCUAGGUUUGUUUGAAAGAAUUUAACGUGGAAACUUAUUUUAAGCGACUUAGGUUUAUCCAAAACGCUUAUUUUGCUAGUGGCCACCACAAUUUAUUUCAUAACUUUGACCUCAAAUCAGGUAGGACUACCCGCUGAACUUAAGCAUAUCAAUAAGCGGGAGGAAAAGGAUCAUUACGGAUUUGCUUAAUUGCCCACAGGGGUUUUUUAUUGAACAAAUUUCUUUGGGGGCGGGGGCAAUCUACCGCCAAGGUUAUAACUAAACCAAACUUUUUAUUUACAGUCAAACUUGAUUUAUUAUUACAAUAGUCAAAACUUUCAACAACGGACCUCUGGGUUCUCGCAUCGAUUAAAAACGCACCGAAAUGCGAUACGUAAUAUGGAAUUGCAAAUAUUUCGUGAAUCUCGAAUCUUUGAACACCAUUGGCCUUUUGGUAUUCAAAGGGCAUGCCUGUUUUGGAGCGUCAUUUCUCCUUCAACCCGGGGUUUGGGUGUUGAGCAAUUACCUUGGGUUUGUUUUGAAAGAAAUUUAUGGGAAAAAACUAUUUUCGAGCCAUGAGGUUUAUCAACACUAUUUUUGCUGUGGCACACACUUUAUUUCAACUUGCACUCAAAGGGGGAGAACACGCUGACUUAAAGCUUCAUAGGGGGGAGGAAAA
RNAcentral lists this ribosomal RNA (999 nucleotides) under Candida tropicalis. RNAcentral describes it as "eukaryotic LSU rRNA". The stretch from base 149 to 302 matches the Rfam family "5.8S ribosomal RNA". Lineage: Eukaryota; Fungi; Ascomycota; Pichiomycetes; Serinales; Debaryomycetaceae. The record is from RNAcentral.